RNAcentral lists this ribosomal RNA (305 nucleotides) under uncultured bacterium. Its description in RNAcentral is "bacterial SSU rRNA". It matches the Rfam family "Bacterial small subunit ribosomal RNA", at positions 335 to 656 of the family's 1533-position model. The record is from RNAcentral.
UGACCUACGGGACGCAGCAGUGGGGAAUAUUGCACAAUGGGGGGAACCCUGAUGCAGCGACGCCGCGUGAGUGAAGAAGUAUUUCGGUAUGUAAAGCUCUGUCAGCAGGGAAAAAGAAAGACGAUACCUGACCAAGAAGCCCCGGCUAACUACGUGCCAGCAGCCGCGGUAAUACGUAGGGGGCAAGCGUUAUCCGGAUUUACUGGGUGUAAAGGGAGCGUAGACGGCAGCGCAAGUCUGAAGUGAAAUCCCAUGGCUUAACCAUGGAACUGCUUUGGAAACUGUGCAGCUGGAGUGCAGGAGAG